RNAcentral lists this ribosomal RNA (167 nucleotides) under Cryptodiscus sp. RNAcentral describes it as "partial large subunit ribosomal RNA". It matches the Rfam family "Eukaryotic large subunit ribosomal RNA", at positions 99 to 261 of the family's 3401-position model. Lineage: Eukaryota; Fungi; Ascomycota; Lecanoromycetes; Ostropales; Stictidaceae. The record is from RNAcentral.
CGGCAACAGCUCAAAUUUGAAAUCUGGCUCCAUUCUGGCGCCCGAAUUGUAAUUUGUAGAGGGCGUCUCGGGGGCGAUACCGGUCUAAGUUCCUUGGAACAGGGCGUCAUAGAGGGUGAGAAUCCCGUACGUGACCGGCCGUCAAUCCCAUGUGAGAUCCCUUCGAC